CCUACGGGAGGCAGCAGUGGGGAAUAUUGCACAAUGGGGGAAACCCUGAUGCAGCAACGCCGCGUGAGUGAAGGAGUAUUUCGGUAUGUAAAGCUCUAUCAGUAGGGAAGAAGAAAGACGGUACCUGACUAAGAAGCCCCGGCUAACUACGUGCCAGCAGCCGCGGUAAUACGUAGGGGGCAAGCGUUAUCCGGAUUUACUGGGUGUAAAGGGAGCGUAGACGGCUGUGCAAGUCUGAAGUGAAAGCCCGUGGCUCAACCGCGGAACUGCUUUGGAAACUGUAUGGCUUGAGUACUGGAGAGGCAGGCGGAAUUCCUAGUGUAGCGGUGAAAUGCAUAGAUAUCACGCAGAACUCCGAUUGCGAAGGCAGCAUACCGGCGCCCGACUGACGCUGAGGCACGAAAGCGUGGGGAUCGAACAGGAUUAGAUACCCGGGUAGUC
RNAcentral lists this ribosomal RNA (441 nucleotides) under uncultured bacterium. RNAcentral describes it as "partial 16S ribosomal RNA". It matches the Rfam family "Bacterial small subunit ribosomal RNA", at positions 338 to 795 of the family's 1533-position model. The record is from RNAcentral.